This 1057-nucleotide long non-coding RNA is filed under the name Phoenix dactylifera (date palm). RNAcentral describes it as "long non-coding RNA (PDAC_LNC015359)". Lineage: Eukaryota; Viridiplantae; Streptophyta; Magnoliopsida; Arecales; Arecaceae. The record is from RNAcentral.
AUGGAAGCUGGGGAGGAGAAGAAAAGAGGAACUCUAGCAAUCACGGGGUAGGAACCUACUGGACAUCGCCGGAAAUCGCUCCGGGCACCAACGGCAAGGUUCGGGUGAGGGAGGAAGCAAGGGAGAAAGACAACGAAAAUAAGAAGCAGCCAAACAAGACCUUUAGGGCGACCUCGAGGGGUUUAUAUAGGCCCCCCUGACGGCCCAGAUCAACGGGGUCGGUUCCCAUCCCCCGAUCGGGUUGCGCCACGUGUCGACCUCGGAAGCCGAGGCACCGUAUUCACUCCGGAUUAAUAAAUCGGGUACGAAAUCGAAGCGUUGUCCCAUCGGAUCUCGGGGCCUCAUCAUGGGUCCGCAAAAUCAAAUCGUCUUGAGGAACGAGCGGACGCCGCCCCCGCUCCCCUCAUUUAAUAAGAUCUGGGAACGUGGAGCCCCGAUGUGGCCUCCACCUCCCUGGAAUUAUGAUCCAGUAACACGAAAGCGGGAGCGUCCGACCUUAGGUCAUGCCGCGUGUCCGCUUUAGACCCCGCAACGGCACACUCAUUGAUGAGUAAGGGGUCUCGAUUACGGGAUCGAGACACCGCCUCGACGAGCUUGAGGACCCCCAUCCUUAACCCGCCGCAAAGCAACCUCGGCAAUUCGAGAGAUGCCACCCCCGCUUCAAGAAGCGUAAUGAUACGAGCUUCAUCAUAAGCUCGCUGAAUAAAGCAGCCUCGAGACGCCAAAGGGCGCAGGUUUCACCAUGAAAGCUCCGAGAAGCGCAAGGACGCGGACGAGAUUCGCCCCCCUCCCAACUUUAAUGAUAGACUUUACUUUCCACGUCCGAGCCCACAAGCCGCUCGAACUCGAAAGUCGGGGGGUAGUGUUGGGGGGAACAAGAUUUUUUCCCAAAUGAUGCAAAUGUCCCUAAGGAGCCGCACGACCUCCGACCCUGGACGGCCGAAGUCGGCGUCCGACCUCGGGACGCCCGACCUCAAGACGACCGACCUCGAGACCUCCGAUCUGAGAAAAACCCCGAUGUUCGAGGUCUACUCUUGUCAGCCACCUACUAUGGCCG